UACGUAGGGUGCGAGCGUUGUCCGGAAUUAUUGGGCGUAAAGAGCUCGUAGGCGGUCUGUCGCGUCGGUCGUGAAAACCUGCAGCUUAACUGUGGGCGUGCGGUCGAUACGGGCAUGACUGGAGUUCGGCAGGGGAGACUGGAAUUCCCAGUGUAGCGGUGAAAUGCGUAGAUAUUGGGAGGAACACCAGUGGCGAAGGGCGGCUCACUGGACCGGAACUGACGCUGAGGCGGCGAAAAGCGUGGGGAGCAAACAGG
Molecule: ribosomal RNA, 257 nt
Filed under: uncultured bacterium
Lineage: Bacteria
Description: partial 16S ribosomal RNA
Rfam family: Bacterial small subunit ribosomal RNA
Source: RNAcentral